Molecule: ribosomal RNA, 494 nt
Filed under: uncultured bacterium
Lineage: Bacteria
Description: partial 16S ribosomal RNA
Rfam family: Bacterial small subunit ribosomal RNA
Source: RNAcentral
GACGAACGCUGGCGGCGUGCUUAACACAUGCAAGUCGAACGGUGAAGCGCCUUCCUUUUUGGUGGGUGUGGAUGAGUGGCGAACGUGUGAGUAACACGUGCGUAACCUGCCCCCUUCUUCUGGAUAACCGCAUGAAAGCUUGUCUAAUACGGGAUAUUCUGGGUCUGUCGCUUGAUGGUUCUGGUAAAGAUCUUGUUUCGGUGGGGGAUGGGCUCGCGGCCUAUCAGAUUGUUGGUGGGGUGAUGGCCUCCCAAGGCGGUGACGGGUAGCCGGCCUGAGAGGGUGUAAGGUGCCACUGGGGCUGAGACACGGGCCAGAGACCUACGGGAGGCAGCAGUGGGGAAAAUUGCACGCUGGGCGCAAACCUGAUGCCGCGCAGCCGCGUGAGGGAUGGGGGCGUUUGGGUUGUGAAACUCUUUGGUCAGUGAAGCGAACCUGCCAUGGUUGUGAGUGGGUUGACGGUAGCUGGCUAAGAAGCGACGGCUAACUACGUG